CCAUGCAUGUCUAAGUAUAAAUUCUUGUACGAUGAAACUGCAGACGGCUCAUUACAACAGUGAUAAACUAAUAGACUUUCGGGUUUUACCUUUUGGAUAACCGCAGUAAAUCGGGGCUAAUACAUAGAAGCGAGGGGUGACUGAUUUAUCGGAAGCUCCGCGAUUAUUAGCAUUCAACCAAUACCCGCAAGGGUUCUGUUGGUGAAACCGAAUAAUAUUGCAGAUCGAAGAUUUAUCUUCGACAAGUCUACUGUGUCACUGCCCUAUCAACUUUCGAUGGUACGGUAUUGGCCUACCAUGGUUGUAACGGGUAACGGGGAAUUAGGGUUCGAUUCCGGAGAGGGAGCCUGAGAAAUGGCUACCACUUCUACGGAAGGCAGCAGGCGCGCAAAUUACUCAAUCCCAAUACGGGGAAGUAGUGACAAUAAAUAUCGAUGCCUAUCCAUUUAUGGAAGGGUAAUUGAAAUGAACACAAAUUAAAACUCUUAAUUAAUACAAUUGGAGGGCAAGUCUGGUGCCAGCAGCCGCGGUAAUUCCAGCUCCAAUAGCAUAUACUAAAGUUGUUGCAGUUAAAAAGCUCGUAGUUGAAGUUAAAGCUUUAUUUGGGUUAAAAAUCCAUUUGCCUUUUAACGGUUAAAUAGGAUUCCAGUAUUGCUUUUUUAAAGUUCAGUUUGUAUUGCCUUUGGUAGUAUUUAUUUGGACAUUUCACUGUGAGAAAAUUGUGGUGUUUAAAGCAGGCGUCUCUGUCUGAUCUUUUGCAGCAUGGUAUGAUGGAACAUGACAUUUUGCG
This 790-nucleotide ribosomal RNA is filed under the name Polysphondylium sp. Its description in RNAcentral is "SSU rRNA". It matches the Rfam family "Eukaryotic small subunit ribosomal RNA", at positions 49 to 836 of the family's 1831-position model. Lineage: Eukaryota; Evosea; Eumycetozoa; Dictyosteliales; Dictyosteliaceae. The record is from RNAcentral.